AUUCUAUAAAGCAAUACAUUUUUGAGAGCCCACAGCAAUUCUCUAUCCUACGUGGCGCUCUCAAAAGUCUCUAUUUUGAUUUAUCUAAUCCUGUAUUAUUUAUUUUACAUCUCAAUUCUCAAGGUCUGCUAGAAAAUCAAUUCUGAUAUUCAAUCAUCCGUUACAAAUUAGAGGCGCAAUAGAUCUGCAAAUUCUUCUCAAAUUUCUCUCCAUCCCUCUGCAAAUUUCAUGCUCAAUCACCGUUACAAAACUUAGAUUAGCAAUUGAUCUGCAAAUAUUCUCAAAUCCCUCUCCAUCCGUCUGCAAUCACCGUACUCAAAUCUCAUCUUCCGAUCAUUCUUGAAUCUCUCCAUCCAUCUGCAAAUCGUUCUGAAAUCCCAUCUCCCGCCGUCUACAAAUCCUUAUCACAACAAUUGAUAUGCUAAUCUCUAUAUACCGGGUCUCCCACCACUGAUACAUCAAAAUUGGCAGGAUUUGGUGCUCCAUCUCCCCGCCUGAUUCCGAACUAUUUUUAAGAUAUCGGCGGCGGAAAGACUAGAAAUCGCCCACCCCUUGCUCUAUCUCACUCGGUUGUCGGGCUAGAAAUCGCCAUCACCGCCGAUGCCCAACUUCUCCGAUCUCCUCCCAUUUUCACACUGGAGUGGCGCCGAGAAGAAGAAACUCUUCGCGUCCAUCAUCAGCUCCUAUCUCCGUUGGAAAUUGUGAAGUGAUAGUGCAAGCGAAGAAUUUCACUUCUGAAUCAAAUGGUGAUAGUUUUCAAAUCUCUAUUUCCAAAACUGCCAAAAUCAGUAUUUCAGUGAUCGGAAAAGCGAAUGAACACGACAAUGGUGGGGGCGGAGGACAUGAGAAAUCUGGUGUUUGUUUUAGUUCCAUAUGGGCUUUUCUUUUCGAAUAUUUGAUUUAGAUUAGUUUAACAUUGCCAUACACGUGAAGCAUAUUAUUUUCUUGAUUGGUUAUAUAGGUUUAAGCUUUAUUGAAUUGUUAGUGGUGUAAAUCAAAGAUAAUCCGGAGAGGGAGCCUGAAUGAGCUUUCAUCUUUUGCUGAGAAAUAAGAAAGUUGCAUACCUGAGGAUUUAGACCUUGCAUCUGAUUUAUGAUUCCAUCCUGUACAUAAAAGACAGAAUAUUAGUAUCUCAAAUUACUUUCGAAAGUACAAGGAAAAAAAUGGUCAAGACUAUGGAAGUUUAGGGAAAUGGGAACUGGCAGUUUGCAUGCUACUUGGUAAAACCGGGGCAUAUCAGAGGUGGUACAUAUCAUGGCGUAAAGAAAAACUAAAAAAAUUAGGAUAAAUAUGAGCUUGAAUGAAAAGAUAGCAGACCUCUAAUAUCCCUGGCUUUAUCUUUUGAUUAUAUAUAGUUAUGUUAUAGAUGACUUUUUCAUUAUUUCUUUUUCUUUCUCUGUACCUAUUUAACUACACUCUCCAACAUUUUCAGUUUCCGGUUAGUUUGAGUAUCGUACUUUCUUCUUGCCUAAUUCAGUUUGGUGUAAGCUUUCUAAUUCGAUUCCAAUUUUAUGUGUGCUCAUCUAUUUGUUUAUGGUUUGCCACUAACUAAGAUAACCAUGAUUUAAGUAUAAGCAAUUAGGUUUGUAUGUCAACAACUCAUACUCAUUAGGCAGAGUUAUUUCUUAUAUUACCAUCCAGGUUUUUAAAACUUGGUUUGCAUAUCAAACUUAACAGUGUGCUCUUUAUACAUCAAACUUCGAGUAAUUUGUUUUAUGCUCUGUAUGCUUGUAAGAAUUAAAUGAGUUUGUGAUCUAUAGAUGAAUCAGAGGAGGCAUUGAAGCUUUAGGGGAUUCAUUGUUCAAAGCCAACAUCUCGGUGAAAAUAGGAGUAGUAUGGGGGAUAAUAAUGGAAACAAACUCCACAAAUUGCAAAUUUGUAGUCACUAUAGAUUAUUAUCCAUCUUAAAUUGGGGCCAUGAUGUAUGCUGCGCAUUUAGUGUUUUAGGAAGUAAGCAAGCUAUUAUUGAACUGAUCUUAGAUAAAUAGUUUUGUUGAUUUACGAUCCUAAAUGUAUCUGUAUUUUCUUUUUCCCACCUUACCUAUUAGUUCAUGCACAACCAUUAAGAGUGCUGACCUUGUGCAGUUGCAAAAGAGCAGUAAAGAGUCAUUGUUCUAUCGUUGAGAACUAUGCCAUUUGCAUUCAUGUCCUCGUGCAACUUUUCAGCUGUUUUCCAAUCUAGAGCCUUGAAGCAAAGAGAUUUUAUCAGUCAUGAGCUGGGAUUGGACAUCGAAUCACUAUAUAUGGUAGAUUUGUGAAUCUUUGGAGUUACAUUUAACGAGGGAUUCUCUGCUGCUAUCAUCAUAAUCAUACUUCUUGGUCAACUUGGGAGGCUUGGAGUUGGUGCUGGCGGAUAUGAGGAUCCUGGUGUUAAGAAAUUAAGAGGCUGGUUCUCAAAAGUUUGUUCAUGUCCAGUUUGCGCUUAUAACUUCUUUGCUUGGUCUUACUUCUAUCAAAUUUCAAGAGGUCGCGGAAGGUAAAAUUGAAAUUCCAGCAGUCAUUAGUCAGUCCAUCCUGUGCUGCCUCAUUUCGCCUAACAUAUUGACAGCCUUGUCAAAUUUCACCAAACGCCCCUAGCUGCUCGAUUAAUUUGUUAUAGCUUCAGCAGUUAUACAAUCAAAAGAACCACUUUCUUAAUAUGCAAUCAGUUUCAGUUCA
Long non-coding RNA from Salvia miltiorrhiza (redroot sage), 2658 nucleotides. RefSeq lists it as uncharacterized. NCBI's taxonomy places the organism in Eukaryota, Viridiplantae, Streptophyta, Magnoliopsida, Lamiales, Lamiaceae. The transcript is spliced from 6 exons. The record is from RefSeq and is a predicted model, not a curated record.